AGCAGCCGCGGUAAUACGUAGGGUGCAAGCGUUAAUCGGAAUUACUGGGCGUAAAGCGUGCGCAGGCGGUGAUGUAAGACAGAUGUGAAAUCCCCGGGCUUAACCUGGGAACUGCAUUUGAAACUGGCAGGCUAGAGUCUUGUAGAGGGGGGUAGAAUUCCAGGUGUAGCGGUGAAAUGCGUAGAGAUCUGGAGGAAUACCGGUGGCGAAGGCGGCCCCCUGGACAAAGACUGACGCUCAGGUGCGAAAGCGUGGGGAGCAAACAGGAUUAGAUACCCUG
Molecule: ribosomal RNA, 280 nt
Filed under: uncultured bacterium
Lineage: Bacteria
Description: partial 16S ribosomal RNA
Rfam family: Bacterial small subunit ribosomal RNA
Source: RNAcentral